RNAcentral lists this long non-coding RNA (442 nucleotides) under Olea europaea (common olive). RNAcentral's name for it is "long non-coding RNA (OEUR_LNC004277)". Lineage: Eukaryota; Viridiplantae; Streptophyta; Magnoliopsida; Lamiales; Oleaceae. The record is from RNAcentral.
UUUUAGGAUAACCACGAAUCAAGAAGUUUUCCAAUACAGGUGUUUUUUAGUGGCUCGAGUAUAACUCCUUUGUACAUUAAUUAUCUUCCCGCUGACAAAAGAAUUGCCAAUAAUGGUAUUUAUCUCCCUUACAAGAGGUUGGUGGUUUGGAGACUUUAAAGAUGCAUAUGGAGGUCCUUCAUAUCGUGGCCUUGUUUCUCGAACUAAUCCUCUUUUGCCUAUAUAAGAGGGCUUUCAAUUCUCAAGAACUUCACAUAUUCCUCCAUGUCGGCUCCAUACCUUGGCCAUUUCGAUCAAUUUGGUGUGUUUAUCUAUGUCAUGAUCUCUGACAUGGUGAAAUUUACAAAUUAUAGUUUGUGGAUCUUAUGGGACAGAUAAUGUGCUUUGCAAACUGCUUGCGAAAGAGCUGAUACAAUUAUAUGCAAUUUAUUGUGCUCGUCGA